RNAcentral lists this ribosomal RNA (465 nucleotides) under uncultured bacterium. RNAcentral describes it as "partial 16S ribosomal RNA". It matches the Rfam family "Bacterial small subunit ribosomal RNA", at positions 28 to 507 of the family's 1533-position model. The record is from RNAcentral.
GACGAACGCUGGCGGCGUGCUUAACACAUGCAAGUCGAACGGAAAGGCCCUGCUUGCAGGGUACUCGAGUGGCGAACGGGUGAGUAACACGUGGGUGAUCUGCCCUGCACUUCGGGAUAAGCCUGGGAAACUGGGUCUAAUACCGGAUAGGAGCCAUUUUUAGUGUGAUGGUUGGAAAGAUUUUUCGGUGUAGGAUGAGCUCGCGGCCUAUCAGCUUGUUGGUGGGGUAAUGGCCUACCAAGGCGGCGACGGGUAGCCGGCCUGAGAGGGUGGACGGCCACAUUGGGACUGAGAGACGGCCCAGACUCCUACGGGAGGCAGCAGUGGGGAAUAUUGCACAAUGGGCGCAAGCCUGAUGCAGCGACGCCGCGUGGGGGAUGACGGCCUUCGGGUUGGAAACUCCUUUCGCUAGGGACGAAGCUUUUUGUGACGGUACCUAGAGAAGAAGCACCGGCUAACUACGUG